This 188-nucleotide antisense RNA is filed under the name Musa acuminata subsp. malaccensis (wild Malaysian banana). RNAcentral describes it as "Antisense RNA which regulates isiA expression". It matches the Rfam family "Antisense RNA which regulates isiA expression". The record is from Rfam by way of RNAcentral. Lineage: Eukaryota; Viridiplantae; Streptophyta; Magnoliopsida; Zingiberales; Musaceae.
AAUCCAAAAUAUGACACUUGGGCAUCGGGUCAAGUUGGUGUCAUUUUUCUGACAUCUCCCCGCCAGGGGCCCAGGUUGAAUAUAUGCCCCUAAACUAACUGCCUUGAGUACUAGAAGAAAAGCAAGCACUUAGACCUAACAAAAUGAAGUUAAUACCCAACAUGGUAGUUAUUAUCUUUCUAUCUGCA